AUAAAAUUAAAACAAAAUGAUUGGGCUGAUUGAUACUGUGGUACAGGAGGAAAAAGAGACAGUAGCACAAUAUGCUGCCAGGCUCACGGAAGCAUUUAAUGGACACAGUGGGCUGGAGCCGCGAAUCGGAGGUGGGGUUAAUCCACGCUACGAGUCACAGUUAACAUCCCGCCUUCUGAAGGGUUUAAAACCACAGAUUGCAAAUUGGAUAAAAAAAACAUCUGGUCGGAUGGGAAGGAGAGCAGAGAAGGGUUAUUCUCGCACAUGCUAAACACGCUGAAAAAGUUCUGGAAAAUAGAGACAAGAAACAUAAAAAAGUAGAGGUGUUUUAUAAUGACGGUGAGAAUGAUGAUGGUUGCUUUUUCUCUUCUGAUCCCCGCAGGAAGGAAAUUAUUUGCUAUCGCUGUGGGAAAAGAGGCCACAUCGCCAGAGAAUGCAGAAGUCUCAUGCCAGUUGCGGACACCGGGCGGGGCGGAGGUCAAGGCGGUGGACGGGGCAGGAGAGGACGCAGGGGCCGUGGAGGCGGUCGGAGAGAGAAAAGAGAACAUGAUGACAGAGAGAAGGAUGAGGAGCAGGACUUCUGACUAGCUUCCCCUGCAGAAUCAGGAGAGAAAAUGUCUUCCCGCGCGCAGGAGAGGAGCUCUGUCGUCCAGCUGGUGAGCUCGGUGCUGCCGCUGCUGCUGCUCUCGCUCUCUGGUUGUUCAAGCAUGGAUGUUGUUGUGGCCAGUAACAUAAAUGCACUGAAUGGAACAACUGUGAAAAUCACCUGUACAUUCACCUCCUGCUAUAAGAUGGAUAUCAACAAGUUUGCCAUGAACUGGACCUACCAAGAAUCACGCAACGAUACAGAGGAGAUGUUCAUGACGUACUAUAAGAAAAAAGGAAUGGUACCUCUGCGUUCAGAUCGGUUUGGAGAGAGGGUGACGUUUGCCGGGAACCUGGAUAAGAACGACCUGUCAAUCACCCUAUCAGAUGUUCAGCUGGAGGAUGAGGGGAUUUACAACUGCUAUGUGAGAAACCCCCCAGACCGCAUCCAGGGACGCGGUAUCAUAGAGCUCCAUGUUGUUACUGAACUUCCCCCUCCGAGGGACUCAACCAUUGCAGUUGCGAUUGGGGCGUCCGUGGGCGGAGCAUUAGCUCUGUUGAUUCUUUCCAUGGUGAUAGUGAAAUGUCUUCGUCGACACCGGAAACAGGAACUAAUUUCGGAGGAAAAGAUGGAGGAGGAGGGAAAACUGGAGGCUGAAGGUGUCGCAGAGGAGGGAACCAAACAGCCAUAGCUGGGUCAUCAGAUUGAACCAGUGGCCUGUGGAGCUCUCAACCCCAACACCUCCUCUGACGUAUGAACCCCCUACCUGAAGAUCUAUAGUAACCACUGCUUGAACCAUCGUCCACUGAUUCUAUCCAUCCCCUUCUGCAUGUGUAUGUGUGUGUGUCAGUGGACACAGGUGUGCUUUUAUGUAUGUAUGUGUGUGUACUGAAUGUGUCUAUGUGUGCCUGUGUGUUUAUAUAUGUCUGUGUGAGACGUGUUUUUUCUCCUUGAAAUAAGCCAGGGAACAUUUCUGCAACUUAACCACCAAACGCAUAUUACGUUAUUCAUAGCUACAAAUAAAUAUUAAUAGCAUUAGAAGUCUUUCUCAUUAUAAGCAACAGCAUUUCCAUAGCACACUAUAUGACACACUAGGGCUGGGCGGUAUGACCUAAAAUUUUUACUACAAUAUAUUUUGAAUAUGGAAUGGUUUCAGUGCUUCAGCAUCAGAGUAUCUAAUGGAUGCUCUCAUAUUUUCAAUUGAAUGUGAUUUUAAAUGCAAUACAAAAGCUAUUUAUUGCCUGAAGUUAAAGCUAUUAUCAGUUAACUAUUAUGAUUCACAGUGGUUGUGGAGGCAGUUUUAUACAUGAUGGUGUUAAAAAAGUUCAUCAUGCUGUGCUGUGUGAUGGGAAUCAACAGCUUCAGUCCAACUUUAGGAUUUUGUUUUGGGUGAAAUGUUUUGGUUUAACAUAAAGAACAUUGCCUUAAAUCAUGUCUCUCAACUGCCUGUAUAGGCACCAUGUCUUUACAAUGACACACAGCUGGCUUUUCUUAACCUGACGCGCCAGAUGGUUUUUAUACAGAACCAUCUGAGAUGUCGUCCUUGGAAACUUGUUUGGAAAAGGGCAGGCACUUUCAAUAAAUACUUGGCAGGUGAUUGGAUGAAGCAUCUGUCGAUCACUGUCUAUCAUCGUCUUACCUUGCAAGGCAGCUGGCUUUGUGAGAUCACAAGAUCGAAUCCUCAUAGGACACUGAUUGGUCCAAACCACUGGUGGUUCCAACACAAUUGCAUAACUUUAAGCCUGACCAGAUGGAUGCUCACGUGAUCUUGUGAUCUCAUGAGUCCAGCUGCCUCGCAAGGUAAGGCUUUUCUAAUUGAAAAGAUAGCAAUUACUCAUUGACUUAACCAAACGAUGUUUGCAUUUCUCAAUGACGUCUACUUGUGUCUUAGGAUACUCAAACAUUCCUCAUACCUGUGGAGGUAUUUGCCAAAACUGUUGCCCUACAUAGUCCAUGUGCCCUGCAGGAAUUUAAACUCUAUUCUGCUCAAUGUCCAGGUGAAGGAACUUGUUUCCCAUCAAUCUCUUUAUUUAUUGGUUCUGCCACUGUUUUCUUGCUGUCUCCAUAUUUUUGUCCACUUUUUGUCUUUGCAUGCAAAAGUGUUUUUAGUUUUAAAGGGAAGUGGUACACUGAUGUUUUUAUUGGCCUGUCAGUGACAUUACCAAAGUUAAUAGCGGCACUGGUUACCAUGCAGUGAGUUGUGCUGAUGCUUUCAGAGCACUUGGGUGUGAUUUUACAGCAAAAUUUUAUUCUAUACUAAAUUUGACAUUCAUACAUUUGUACUGUAUGCCGUUGCUGGUUAUACCGUCCAUCCCUAUGACACUGCUAGAGAAAUGGCAUGUUAGUGUGCCUGAAUACAGAGGCACAGAUUUCAUUUGACAAAGUCAUAAUGUGUCUUGGUAUUAGAUCAUAUGACAUUUACAAUAUUUGUGACUGCAUUACAAUGUAAAAUUAUUUACAUAUGUAAACACGUCUGUGAAUGUGUUGAGCUUUCUUCUCAGAAACCUUCCCCACAAUACAAAUAAAGCUAGCACUGGUUGUGUUGUUGGUAAGAGAAAUAAAACUUUUUGCUGAAAUAGUGUUGGCUAUAUGACAACAUUUCCAUCAAAGAUGAAAACAAAUCAAAGACAACUCAAAGUGAAAAACCUACAUUGCACCCACAAUCACGUGAUUUCUGUAGCUGCCAACCUUUAUGAAUAUUCAUAGAAAUGAAUAAAAGAAAAACUACAAGACACAGUUAUAGAGUCACACUUAAAGACAGUAAUAUAGGAGAUAAUACCAAAUGAUCCAAAUUACAAUAUGAGAUGUUUAUAUCCAUGACUGACAAAGAAGAGCUUCCUGACAAACUUAUGGUGUGGUUAGGGUUUAACUACAAAUUGUAGUUCUCCACCAGAACGGGUAGAAUUUGUUAUUUUGGAAAUUGAAGCAUGUACAGUGUACUAUACUGCCCUGAAUGCAUGUUAAACAGUGCAUAUCAAAAAGUUAAAUGUAAUAAAAUAAAGUAAGAAACUUAAUUCUAUUCUGUUAAGAACGAAAACCACAACGAUGUGAGUCAGUCAGAGCAUGUUUAAGCUUUCACUCUAUGUAGCAACUGGCACCAUUUAUCAAAUAUUAUGCUACCUGUAUUUCAUUUUGAUUUGUUUGAAUACAUGGAUAUAUAUUUUGCUUGCAUAUUUGAGUGUUAGAGGUAUUUGGUUGUACUUGACUUUCAGCUUUCACCUGUAAAAUCUCAAAAAACAACUUUAACAACUUUAAAUAUUUCAUCAUUUCAUUAAAAAAAAAAGCUUCCAUAAAAACUCUUAUAAUCUAUAUCUUUUUAUUCUAAUUCCAACUGGAACCCUGUUUUAUAGAGAUUUUAAAAAGACCUGGAGCCAUUGCACCUCAAUACAAACAAUUUUAGUGUGUACUUUAAAGCAGAUAAAUAUAUCAAAAGGUUUAAAGAUUUUAAAUGUAAAUCCUAUCUCUGUCUCCAAAGUAAUGCCUUUACCUUAACAGUGGUGUUUAAAACUGUAAGAUAUUGUUUUGCACAUUAACACACUGACACACCUAUUCUAAUAUAAUCAUAUCGGAGAGCAUGUGCAUAUAAUGGGAAUGAGAAAAGCAUAUAAAGUUCACGAGUUAUCAAGAUGGUAUAUUGGAAUGUGUGGCUGUUGUAAUAGAUGGCAUGGUGAAAAUGGAAAAAGCAUCAAAUGUGCAUCUAUUUGGUUUGAGCACCUUGAAUGUUAAAAAUUCUCUUAAUUAGUAACUCGAUCACUAUUAAUUGCCCAUUUUACAUGUAACAGCAUGUGAGCUUUGUUAACCUCUGAAUGUCCAAUUAUGAUUUAACUAUGUUGUGAUGACAAGCCAGCUGUGUCACAAAGUGAUGUCUCUAAGAUGCCUGUAAUGACUCAAGCUGGUUAGCUGUGUCAUCUAGCAACUACAUUGUGGUUAGUUUUGCCAGAUCUUGUGGCUAGACUAGAUCUGACGUAAAGAAAAAUGUGUACAGGUCUGUGUUAUUUAUUUAUUUAUUUAUAUUAUUUUUAAUAUAAUUUGGGUCUUAAUCACAUUUUUUAUAGAUUUUAUCAUUUCUGAUUUUUAUAAUUUGUUUUCCAACAUUUUAGGUGAUGUAUUGUGUGAUUUCCUGAAAUAUUAAAAGCACAUCUUUUGCAUCACAAUAAUAUAAUAAUUACAAUUGUGUGUUGUUCUGUGGUGAAUAAAGCUAAAAUGGUCAUAUAACACAGUCAUUUAACAACAAUGUCAUAAACAUGAA
RNA transcript from Thunnus maccoyii (southern bluefin tuna), 4835 nucleotides. It is a transcript of the gene named sodium channel, voltage-gated, type II, beta, with no coding region annotated. The transcript has 7 exons. NCBI's taxonomy places the organism in Eukaryota, Metazoa, Chordata, Actinopteri, Scombriformes, Scombridae. The record is from RefSeq and is a predicted model, not a curated record.